Molecule: long non-coding RNA, 831 nt
Filed under: Eucalyptus grandis
Lineage: Eukaryota; Viridiplantae; Streptophyta; Magnoliopsida; Myrtales; Myrtaceae
Description: long non-coding RNA (EGRA_LNC001755)
Source: RNAcentral
UGCCAAAAUUUUCCGUCAAAUCACUUAAGUGCCAAAUUGGAGAAAAAAUGAUCACUUUGGUGCCACCGGUGAAAUAUUACAACCAAAUUAUUACGUGGCUUUUAUAUUUUUUUAAAAAAAAAUUGUGGCUUUUAAACAACGUCGUUUUCCAUCCUCCUUAAGAAACGACGUCAUUUUGCCGUCAUACGUGGACAGCCUCACAAAAACAACACUAUACAACUCAUAUGGGGACUGAAAUUAGGGUUUCUUUGUCGUUCGCCCGCUGUCACUCGGCCACUGUCGCUUGGCCACCAUCAUAGUUGCUCAACCAGGUGAGCGAGAGGAUGAGGUUGUUGCUCAAGCAAGAAGUAACGGGAAAAAUAGGAGGGAGGAUGAAGGAGGAGGAAAAAAAAGAGGGGUCAAAGGUGCCACUGUUGAUGUCGCUAGUGGUGUCGCUGCUAAUGUUGUUUUUCAGGGGAGGAAAAAAAAGAGGGGUCAAAGGUGCCACUGAUGGUGUCGCUAGUGGUGUCGCUACUAAUGUUGUUUUUCAGGGAAGAAGACGAGGAGGAAGCUCAUGUCUUCUCUCUCUCAAUAUAGGGAUUUAGGGUUCCUACCUAGGGGCACCAAACGAUGUCAUUUUGUUGUUUGGAUGCUGACUGUACUCUCCAAAGAGCCAUGUCAGCUUUAAAAAUUAAUAAAAAAGUGUCACGCAGAUUUCCGGCCAAUUAGAUUGGUAUUGGCACUGAAAUGAUCGUUUUUCAAAUUUAUUAGAACUUAAAUGAUUCAAAAUAAACUUUUAACACCAAAGUGAGCGCCGUACAUAACUUUUGACACUUCUAGUGUACUUACCCA